RNAcentral lists this ribosomal RNA (467 nucleotides) under uncultured bacterium. RNAcentral's name for it is "partial 16S ribosomal RNA". It matches the Rfam family "Bacterial small subunit ribosomal RNA", at positions 28 to 523 of the family's 1533-position model. The record is from RNAcentral.
GACGAACGCUGGCGGCGUGCUUAACACAUGCAAGUCGAGCGGGAAACUUCGGUUUCCAGCGGCGGACGGGUGAGUAACACGUGGGCAACCUGCCUCUCAAUGAGGGAUAGCCCUCCGAAAGGAGGAUUAAUACCUCAUAACACAAGAGAAACGCAUGUUUCUCUUGCCAAAGAAUUUCGUUGUGAGAUGGGCCCGCGGCGCAUUAGCUUGUUGGUGAGGUAACGGCUCACCAAGGCUUCGAUGCGUAGCCGACCUGAGAGGGUGAUCGGCCACAUUGGAACUGAGACACGGUCCAGACUCCUACGGGAGGCAGCAGUGGGGAAUAUUGCACAAUGGAGGAAACUUUGAUGCAGCAACGCCGCGUGAGUGAUGAAGGUCUUCGGAUUGUAAAGCUCUGUCUUCUGGGACGAUAAUGACGGUACCAGAGGAGGAAGCCACGGCUAACUACGUGCCAGCAGCCGCCGUAA